This 524-nucleotide ribosomal RNA is filed under the name uncultured bacterium. RNAcentral's name for it is "partial 16S ribosomal RNA". It matches the Rfam family "Bacterial small subunit ribosomal RNA", at positions 355 to 895 of the family's 1533-position model. The record is from RNAcentral.
UGGGGAAUAUUGCACAAUGGGCGAAAGCCUGAUGCAGCAACGCCGCGUGAGUGAUGAAGGCCUUCGGGUUGUAAAGCUCUGUCUUUUGGGACGAUAAUGACGGUACCAAAGGAGGAAGCCACGGCUAACUACGUGCCAGCAGCCGCGGUAAUACGUAGGUGGCAAGCGUUGUCCGGAUUUACUGGGCGUAAAGGAUGCGUAGGCGGAUUUUUAAGUGAGAUGUGAAAACCCUAGGCUUAACUUGGGGACUGCAUUUCAUACUGGAAAUCUAGAGUGCGGGAGAGGAGAAUGGAAUUCCUAGUGUAGCGGUGAAAUGCGUAGAGAUUAGGAAGAACACCAGUGGCGAAGGCGAUUCUCUGGACCGUAACUGACGCUGAGGCAUGAAAGCGUGGGUAGCAAACAGGAUUAGAUACCCUGGUAGUCCACGCCGUAAACGAUGAGUACUAGGUGUAGGAGGUAUCGACCCCUUCUGUGCCGCAGUUAACACAAUAAGUACUCCGCCUGGGAAGUACGAUCGCAAGAUU